GCCGGGUGUGGUGGCGCACACCUGUAAUCCCAGCUACUUGGGAAGCUGAGGCAGGAGAAUUGCUUGAACCCAGGAGGCAGAGGUUGCAGUGAGCCGAGAUCACAUCACUGCAUUCCAGCCUGGGAGACAGAGCAAGAUUCCGUCUCAA
Molecule: non-coding RNA, 148 nt
Filed under: Homo sapiens (human)
Lineage: Eukaryota; Metazoa; Chordata; Mammalia; Primates; Hominidae
Source: Rfam by way of RNAcentral